RNAcentral lists this long non-coding RNA (200 nucleotides) under Ananas comosus (pineapple). RNAcentral describes it as "long non-coding RNA (ACOM_LNC001053)". The record is from RNAcentral. Lineage: Eukaryota; Viridiplantae; Streptophyta; Magnoliopsida; Poales; Bromeliaceae.
CCAUCCUUCCCCCUUUCCCACACCACUCUUGCUUUUGUAAUCUUAUUACACUAUCUCUUUCCCUCUCUUUUAUUGUAGGCCUUAACUGCUUCCAUCAUGUACGCUUAGUUUAUUUCACUUAAUAAAUAAAACAGAUAACUUGCUAUUUUUUUCUUAAAAAAAAAAAUUAAACAAAGGUAACUAAGCAACACAUAACACAU